GCCUUCGUGGUGUAGUGGUCAGCACGCUCGGCCCGUAACCGAGAGGUCCGUGGUUCGAUUCCCGGCGAAGGCG
Molecule: non-coding RNA, 73 nt
Organism: Stegodyphus mimosarum
Lineage: Eukaryota; Metazoa; Arthropoda; Arachnida; Araneae; Eresidae
Source: Rfam